Molecule: long non-coding RNA, 200 nt
Filed under: Elaeis guineensis (African oil palm)
Lineage: Eukaryota; Viridiplantae; Streptophyta; Magnoliopsida; Arecales; Arecaceae
Description: long non-coding RNA (EGUI_LNC035540)
Source: RNAcentral
AGUCAAAGAUACAGAACAAUCACUUUUUGUUCUACGCCACAGAGGUCGACCCCAGGGGUCGACCCCUGUGCAGGGUCAUCCUCUGUGAUAAAAAAUCUCUGUAACAGUUAGUUUUUAAUCCAUUUUGAUCAUAUUUAAUGCUCAUUUAAAGCUCUCCAACGGCUCUAAACCUAUCUAAAUUUUUUUCUAGCAUCUAUUGA